AGUGAACGCUGGCGGUAGGCCUAACACAUGCAAGUCGAACGGCAGCACAGUAAGAGCUUGCUCUUACGGGUGGCGAGUGGCGGACGGGUGAGGAAUACAUCGGAAUCUACUUUUUCGUGGGGGAUAACGUAGGGAAACUUACGCUAAUACCGCAUACGACCUACGGGUGAAAGCAGGGGAUCUUCGGACCUUGCGCGAUUGAAUGAGCCGAUGUCGGAUUAGCUAGUUGGCGGGGUAAAGGCCCACCAAGGCGACGAUCCGUAGCUGGUCUGAGAGGAUGAUCAGCCACACUGGGACUGAGACACGGUCCAGACUCCUACGGGAGGCAGCAGUGGGGAAUAUUGGACAAUGGGGGCAAGCCUGAUCCAGCCAUGCCGCGUGAGUGAAGAAGGCCUUCGGGUUGUAAAGCCCUUUUGUUGGGGAAGAAAAGCUGUGGGCUAAUACCCCGCUGUUCUGACGGUACCGGAAGAAUAAGCACCGGCUAACUUCGUG
RNAcentral lists this ribosomal RNA (492 nucleotides) under uncultured bacterium. Its description in RNAcentral is "partial 16S ribosomal RNA". It matches the Rfam family "Bacterial small subunit ribosomal RNA", at positions 29 to 507 of the family's 1533-position model. The record is from RNAcentral.